This 460-nucleotide ribosomal RNA is filed under the name uncultured bacterium. RNAcentral describes it as "partial 16S ribosomal RNA". It matches the Rfam family "Bacterial small subunit ribosomal RNA", at positions 338 to 795 of the family's 1533-position model. The record is from RNAcentral.
CCUACGGGUGGCAGCAGUGAGGAAUAUUGGUCAAUGGACGAGAGUCUGAACCAGCCAAGUAGCGUGAAGGAUGACUGCCCUAUGGGUUGUAAACUUCUUUUAUAAAGGAAUAAAACGAGGCACGUGUGCCUUUUUGCAUGUACUUUAUGAAUAAGGAUCGGCUAACUCCGCGCCAGCCGCCGCGGUAAUACGGAGGAUCCGAGCGUUAUCCGGAUUUAUUGGGUUUAAAGGGAGCGUAGAUGGGUUGUUAAGUCAGUUGUGAAAGUUUGCGGCUCAACCGUAAAAUUGCAAUUGAUACUGGCAGUCUUGAGUACAGGUGAGGUAGGCGGAAUUCGUGGUGUAGCGGUGAAAUGCUUAGAUAUCACGAAGAACCUCGAUUGCGAAGGCAGCUUACUAAACUGUAACUGACAUUGAUGCUCGAAAGUGUGGGUAUCAAACAGGAUUAGAUACCCGAGUAGUC